Molecule: ribosomal RNA, 1531 nt
Filed under: human gut metagenome
Description: bacterial LSU rRNA
Rfam family: Bacterial large subunit ribosomal RNA
Source: RNAcentral
AGUCUAAGGUUUCCUGGGGAAGGUUCGUCCGCCCAGGGUAAGUCGGGACCUAAGGUGAGGCUGAAAAGCGUAGCCGAUGGAUAGCAGGUUGAAAUUCCUGCACUAUAGAUAUACUUAAAAGAUGCAAGGGACGCAGGAGUGGAAGAUAAGCGAGGAAGAGGAAAAACUCGUAUCGCAAGAUAUAGUGAAAAUAAAGUAACGAAUUAUCAAGAAGCACACUGACGAGAAAAGCUUGUAGAUAUUGUAUAUAAAUACCCGUACCGCAAACCGACACAGGUAGAUGAGGAGAGGAUCCUAAGACGAGCGGGAGAAGCAUUGUUAAGGAACUCGGCAAAUUGACCCCGUAACUUAGGGAGAAGGGGUGCCAAAGUAAAAUUUGGUCGCAGAGAAGAGGCCCAAGCAACUGUUUAACAAAAACACAGGUUUCUGCUAAAUCGAAAGAUGAAGUAUAGGAGCUGACGCCUGCCCAGUGCUGGAAGGUUAAGGGGAAGAGUUAGAUGUAAGUCGAAGCUUAGAACCAAAGCCCCAGUGAACGGCGGCCGUAACUAUAACGGUCCUAAGGUAGCGAAAUUCCUUGUCAGGUAAGUUCUGACCCGCACGAAAGGCGUAAUGAUUUGGGCGCUGUCUCGACAAUGUACUCGGCGAAAUUGUAGUACUAGUGAAGAUGCUAGUUACCUGCGACAAGACAGAAAGACCCCAUGGAGCUUUACUGUAGCUUGAUACUGGGUUUCGAUAAUUUAUGUACAGGAUAGGUGGGAUGCAAAGAAGCAAGUGCGCCAGCAUUUGUGGAGCAGACGUUGGGAUACCACCCUUAAGUUAUUGGAAUUCUAACCUGUAGUCAUGAACUGGCUAGGGGACAAUGUCAGGCGGGCAGUUUGACUGGGGCGGUCGCCUCCAAAAGAGUAACGGAGGCGCGCAAAGGUUUCCUCAGCGCGGACAGAAAUCGCGCAAGAGAGUGCAAAGGCAGAAGGAAGCUUAACUGAGAGACUGACAAGUCGACCAGAUACGAAAGUAGGUCUUAGUGAUCCGGCGGUAGUGAGUGGAAAUGCCGUCGCUCAACGGACAAAAGUUACCCUGGGGAUAACAGGCUUAUCUCCCCCAAGAGUUCACAUCGACGGGGAGGUUUGGCACCUCGAUGUCGGCUCAUCGCAUCCUGGGGCUGUAGUAGGUCCCAAGGGUUGGGCUGUUCGCCCAUUAAAGCGGUACGCGAGCUGGGUUCAGAACGUCGUGAGACAGUUCGGUCCUUAUCUGUCGCAGGCGAAGGAUAUUUGAGGGGAGUUGACCUUAGUACGAGAGGACCAGGUUGAACUUACCAAUGGUGUAUCAGUUGUCGUACCAACGGCACGGCUGAGUAGCUAAGUAGGGAAGGGAUAAACGCUGAAAGCAUCUAAGUGUGAAGCCCACCCCAAGAUAAGAUAUCCCAUACCGUAAGGUAGUAAGAUUCCACAAAGACUAUGUGGAGAUAGGUUGGAGGUGUAAGUGCAGUAAUGCAUGUAGCUGACCAAUACUAAUAAAUCGAGGGCUUAACCAC